Molecule: long non-coding RNA, 686 nt
Filed under: Carica papaya (papaya)
Lineage: Eukaryota; Viridiplantae; Streptophyta; Magnoliopsida; Brassicales; Caricaceae
Description: long non-coding RNA (CPAP_LNC015703)
Source: RNAcentral
CCUCACUCUACUUACUAAAUAGGCGAGAAAGGGGCCAAUCAUGCAACCUUCUCAGCACAUGGGUUGGCCUGCAAGGUCACUAACCCAGGUGUGUUGCGCGUUGCAGCACCCUUAGGGCAGGCAAUCUGGACACCUUGGACAUGUCAGGAUAGGUGCUCAUGCGCGGGUAUGCAUGUCACAUCGAGUGGGGCAUGAUGUCCAUGCCCUUGCAUGGUGCGAUAUGCUCACGUUGCUCAGCAUGCUCGCGCACAUUUGCAAUGUUGUAUGCGUCUCUAUUUCUCUCAUUCGCAUGGCAUGGAGUUCCCUUACACUCGAUUGAGAGAACGCUUGCACUAUGUGCAUGACAGGGAUUGACCCUGCACUACGAAUUUGUCAAGGCAAUCUUCGCCCAUACACACGUAUGUCAUCUGUAGGCUCCCUCGAUGCAUAGGCGUGCCUUGUGAAGCCCACAUGCAAGUGUACUCCUGUGCACGCACAUUGCAUGCUCGGGGCCCUAUCCCAACACAUAUGUGUGCCUAGAUAGUGUCCCUCGCAUAAUUGGCACGCUACUAUGCCUGUGCUUGCGAUUUAUCAUGGCACAUCAAUGCAUUUUCUCACUUGUUUUUGAUCAUCCAUGCACAUUUUAUCUUUCUAAACAUAAUCCUUAAACAUUUAUAAAUAUCAUACUUACCUUUCUAAGCUAAAUU